RNAcentral lists this ribosomal RNA (400 nucleotides) under uncultured bacterium. Its description in RNAcentral is "bacterial SSU rRNA". It matches the Rfam family "Bacterial small subunit ribosomal RNA", at positions 355 to 768 of the family's 1533-position model. The record is from RNAcentral.
UCGAGAAUAUUCCACAAUGGACGAAAGUCUGAUGGAGCGACGCCGCGUGCAGGAUGAAGGUUUUCGGAUUGUAAACUGCUUUUGUAAGGGAAGAAUUUCGAUGACGGUACCUUACGAAUAAGAGGUUACUAACUCUGUGCCAGCAGUAGCGGUAAUACAGAGACCUCAAGCGUUAUCCGGAUUUAUUGGGCGUAAAGCGCAAGUAGGCGGACAUGUUAGUCAGAUGUCAAAUCCUCCGACUCAAUCGGAGAACUGCAUUUGAAACGGCAUGUCUAGAGGGAAUGAGAGAUCUAUGGAACUCAUGGUGUAGCAGUGAAAUGCGUCGAUAUCAUGAGGAACACCAAAGGCGAAGGCAUUAGAUUGGCAUUUUCCUGACGCUCAGUUGCGAAAGCGUGGGUAG